CUCCACUCCACCUGCUGCCACCUCCACUCCACCUGCUGCCACCUCCACUUCAGAGAAAUAUGUUAGAGAGGCUUGGGACGGCAAAAAUGUUCAUUUUCUGCUGUCCAGAAUCGGACCAUACAAGCUGUUUUAUUGGGACAUCUGUAGGACAACUCCGGGUCAGGAACUUGAGAGUGAGGUGAUCAAUGCCACCCUGUUCAGAAUGGUCCAGAAGCACAAUUGCCAAGGGGGGAAAAAGGCACUUUGCAUUGAUACAUAUGCCAUGACCCAAAUUUGGAACAGGAAGACUUCAAUUCUAAGGAAGUGUGAUCCUUCAUUGUAUGGAGUCAAUCUGGGGGUAGUGACUGAGCCAAAUCAUUGGAUACUCACAGUCAUCUUCCCCUCAGAACAGAGGAGCCUUGUGCUGGAUCCACUCGGCAACGAUGCCUCCAAGAUCACAAGAUGUCUGGAGACCACAAGAGCAUUCAUGAGAGCGAGGGGCUGUACGGUGUCCAGGUGGAAAGCCAACACUGUGCCACAUAGCCUGCAGCAGGAUUCCACUUCAUGUGGAAUAUUUGCCAUCAAAAUACGUUUUUGAAUUGCAUAUUUCCUUACGGAAACAUGAAGCAGAUUUUGAAAAGUAUGCUGAGAAAGUCCUGGCAGAGGAGUCUCCUACUUUCCCAAACUCUGAAGGGGCAGUGGUUAAUUACAGGAGGGAAAUUGCUGUAGCACUUCUCAAUGAGACUGUUAUGUUAACCCUUUUCAAACUUCUAUUAACACCAUGAGGAUUUCAAUAUCAUUAAUUCAAUGAAUAUAAAAAAGUCUAGAAAGUUAGUAUGUAUCACUUAUGGUGUAUUUUCCCAUGGAAAUAAGAAGAAAAUAUUAUAUGCAAUCAAUACCAUAUCUUAACCAGAUGAUCUCAGUGAGCUGUGCCACCACUGUGGAGAGGGAGAAGAAGCGCGAGGGCGGUCUCAAGACAGACCUGAUGCCACUGACUGGAUCCAGUGUGACACCUGUGGAAGGUGGUACCACGAGGGUUGUGUUGGGAGACCUGACAGAGAUCCUAUGUACAGCUGUCCUGCAUGCCACCAGGCUCAAAUGAGUCGUGAGGAUGGACACUGGGAUUUCAGCGGCCCUCACAACCCCCACCACCCCCCCUUCCCGUGAGGAUGGACACUGGGGUUUCAGCGGCCC
Gadus morhua (Atlantic cod) is the source of this 1173-nucleotide long non-coding RNA. RefSeq lists it as uncharacterized. NCBI's taxonomy places the organism in Eukaryota, Metazoa, Chordata, Actinopteri, Gadiformes, Gadidae. The record is from RefSeq and is a predicted model, not a curated record. The transcript has 8 exons.